AACAAAACAAGCAUGUAUCAUUAAUCAUUUUUUCUCAAGUACAAAUUAAAAGAAACAAGAUUAUUGUUCCAACAAAGUGAAAAUAUUCAAAUUUUUGUUUCCUUGCACUAGUUGACCGCCAGAAGUGCAGAAAACAGAGUAAACAGAAAGCAUAUUUGGAAGAUUCUCCCUCUCAACAACGAUAUACAGCAUAACACCUUCGUCCUCGCGGACGAGGGAUGCAAACAAUCAUGAUCACAAGAGCUAGUAUAACCACUAUCAAAAAUCCGGAAAGAUCAAGAUCUAUACCUUUGUCUUCAGAUUCCACGAUGUAAAUCUUCCCCAUAGCUGGCACCUGUGCCUUGUGUUUUCUUCUUGAUCUCUAUGAAUCAGUAAGAAG
Molecule: unclassified non-coding RNA, 379 nt
Filed under: Hevea brasiliensis (rubber tree)
Lineage: Eukaryota; Viridiplantae; Streptophyta; Magnoliopsida; Malpighiales; Euphorbiaceae
Source: RNAcentral